GAUGAACGCUGGCGGCGUGCCUAAUACAUGCAAGUCGAGCGAACAGACGAGGAGCUUGCUCCUCUGACGUUAGCGGCGGACGGGUGAGUAACACGUGGAUAACCUACCUAUAAGACUGGGAUAACUUCGGGAAACCGGAGCUAAUACCGGAUAAUAUAUUGAACCGCAUGGUUCAAUAGUGAAAGACGGUUUUGCUGUCACUUAUAGAUGGAUCCGCGCCGCAUUAGCUAGUUGGUAAGGUAACGGCUUACCAAGGCAACGAUGCGUAGCCGACCUGAGAGGGGGAUGGCCCACACGGGAAGAGAGAACCGGUCAAGACACCUGGGGGAGGAACAGGAAGGAAAUCUCCCGAAAGGGGGAAAGGCCGGAGGGAGAAGGGCGGGGGGAUGGAGAAAGGUGUGGGAAUCGAAAAAUUUGGUUAGGGGAAAAAAAAAAAUGUAAAAGUAAUAAUACACGUUUGGAGGUUACAAAAUAAAAAAACCACGCAUAACAAGGGC
Molecule: ribosomal RNA, 497 nt
Filed under: uncultured bacterium
Lineage: Bacteria
Description: partial 16S ribosomal RNA
Rfam family: Bacterial small subunit ribosomal RNA
Source: RNAcentral